UAAAGAUUCAUCGCUGAUAGAUAGGCAUGCGUUCCAUUAGGCAGUUGGCGGGGUAACGGCCCACCAAACCGACGAUGGAUAGGGGUUCUGAGAGGAAGGUCCCCCACAUUGGUACUGAGACACGGACCAAACUCCUACGGGAGGCAGCAGUGAGGAAUAUUGGUCAAUGGGCGUAAGCCUGAACCAGCCAAGUCGCGUGGGGGAUGAAGGUUCUAUGGAUCGUAAACCUCUUUUAUAAGGGAAUAAAGUGCGGGACGUGUCCCGUUUUGUAUGUACCUUAUGAAUAAGGAUCGGCUAACUCCGUGCCAGCAGCCGCGGUAAUACGGAGGAUCCGAGCGUUAUCCGGAUUUAUUGGGUUUAAAGGGUGCGUAGGCGGCCUUUUAAGUCAGCGGUGAAAGUCUGUGGCUCAACCAUAGAAUUGCCGUUGAAACUGGGAGGCUUGAGUAUGUUUGAGGCAGGCGGAAUGCGUGGUGUAGCGGUGAAAUGCUUAGAUAUCACGCAGAACCCCGAUUGCGAAGGCAGCCUGCCAAGCCAUGACUGACGCUGAUGCACGAAAGCGUGGGGAUCAAACAGGAUUAGAUACCCUGGUAGUCCACGCAGUAAACGAUGAUCACUAGCUGUUUGCGAUACAGUGUAA
Molecule: ribosomal RNA, 637 nt
Filed under: uncultured bacterium
Lineage: Bacteria
Description: bacterial SSU rRNA
Rfam family: Bacterial small subunit ribosomal RNA
Source: RNAcentral